Molecule: small RNA, 119 nt
Filed under: Marmota monax (woodchuck)
Lineage: Eukaryota; Metazoa; Chordata; Mammalia; Rodentia; Sciuridae
Source: RNAcentral
GCCGGGUACGGUGGUGCAUGCUUGUAAUCCCAGCAGCUUGGGAGGCUGAGGCAGGAGGAUUGUGAAUUCAAAGCCAGCAAAAGUGAGGUGCUAAGCAACUCAGUGAGACCCUGUCUCUA